Molecule: long non-coding RNA, 1231 nt
Filed under: Salmo salar (Atlantic salmon)
Lineage: Eukaryota; Metazoa; Chordata; Actinopteri; Salmoniformes; Salmonidae
Description: lncRNA (ENSSSAG00000099483.1)
Source: RNAcentral
GCCACUGUGUUCUUGGGGAUCUUCAAUGCUGCAUAAAUGUUUUGUUACCCUUCCUCAGAUUUGUGCCUCAACACAAUCCUGUCUCGGAGCUCUACGGACAAUUCCUUCAACCUCAUGGCUUUGUUUUUGCUCUGACAUGCAGGUGUGUGCCUUUCCAAAGGGUCUGAAUGCUUAAGGUAUUUCAGUUUUUUUUAUUUGUAAUACAUUUCCAAACAUUUCUGAAUCUGUUUUCGCUUUGUCAUUAUGGGGUGUUGUGGGUGUGUAGAUGAGGAAAAAGAUUAAUUGAAUCAAUUUUAGAAUAAGGCUGUAAUGUAACUAAAUGUGGAAAAAGGGAAGGGGUCUGAAUACUUUCAGAAUGCACUGUAAAGAGGGAGGUUUUGUAAUGAACAAAUGUUUUAUUAUACUUUUGUAUCUGUUUUGUUUGUUUCAUCACCUUUUAUAAUUUUCUGUACACUUAGUUUUUUUAAAAGAUGAAUGCAUUUUGAAAUGUGUUCACCUUUUAUAGAAUUGUAUGUUUUUUGUUUUGCGUUUCAAUUUUCUGUUUUGUUUUAAAGGAAGUCCCAUCAUCGGCCACAAGGUUGAUAAAUCCCAAGCAGGAAAUUGAUUGAAGGUUCUCAAGGCAGUAUUAGUCUGUCACAUCUCUGACCAACUGUACCUCCUCUUUCUUUUAUAUGCGUUUCUGUAAGUUGGGGAUGUUGUUUUGCACUGCAGGCUUGUAAGACAGUUCAAUAACUCAAGGUGAUUGGUCUUGUCUGUGGAAUUAACAUCAAUCACUAUUGUCACUUUCUAACACUACAACGGGGAAGGAUGGGUCACCACUGGUAUUUUAUUUGGGAAAGAAAGGGAUAUAACUUUCUUUUUUCUCAACAUGUUCUGUUGAUCUCGUGCAACUGAGUGUUCCUUUUUAUUUUCCAAACCGAUGUUGAUAAAGGGAGUGUUCAUUUCUGUCUCAAGUAGGUACCGUAAGAUGACUAGGCCUACUGCAUGAUAUGACAAUACUGUAACUGAUGAACCUGUUCCUGCUCGUAUGAAAUUCCCCUUCCUGCGUUCCCACUGUUCACAAUCCUUACAGGUAUGUUUUAUGUAUUUUUGUCAUAUAGAUGUUGCGUGUUCUUCUCAUUGUGAAUGUUUCCAGUGUUUAUUUCCUGUGAAUCCAAAACCAUAGUAUCAUAUGUGAAUACCACCAAGGAUGUAUUUAUUCUAUUGUUGCCACGUUUAAAACGAAAUAAAC